Molecule: ribosomal RNA, 468 nt
Filed under: uncultured bacterium
Lineage: Bacteria
Description: partial 16S ribosomal RNA
Rfam family: Bacterial small subunit ribosomal RNA
Source: RNAcentral
GACGAACGCUGGCGGCGUGCUUAACACAUGCAAGUCGAACGGAAAGGCCCUGCUUUUGUGGGGUGCUCGAGUGGCGAACGGGUGAGUAACACGUGAGUAACCUGCCCUUGACUUUGGGAUAACUUCAGGAAACUGGGGCUAAUACCGGAUAGGAGCUCCUGCUGCAUGGUGGGGGUUGGAAAGUUUCGGCGGUUGGGGAUGGACUCGCGGCUUAUCAGCUUGUUGGUGGGGUAGUGGCUUACCAAGGCUUUGACGGGUAGCCGGCCUGAGAGGGUGACCGGCCACAUUGGGACUGAGAUACGGACCAGACUCCUACGGGAGGCAGCGGUGGGAAAUAUUGCACAAUGGGGGGAAGCCUGAUGCAGCAGCGCCGCGUGCGGGAUGACGGCCUUCGGGUUGUAAACCGCUUUCGCCUGUGACGAAGCGUGAGUGACGGUAAUGGGUAAAGAAGCACCGGCUAACUACGUG